RNAcentral lists this ribosomal RNA (504 nucleotides) under uncultured bacterium. RNAcentral's name for it is "partial 16S ribosomal RNA". It matches the Rfam family "Bacterial small subunit ribosomal RNA", at positions 30 to 523 of the family's 1533-position model. The record is from RNAcentral.
AUUGAACGCUGGCGGCAUGCCUUACACAUGCAAGUCGAACGGCAGCAUGGAGAGCUUGCUCUCUGAUGGCGAGUGGCGAACGGGUGAGUAAUGCAUCGGAACGUACCGUGUAAUGGGGGAUAACGUAGCGAAAGUUACGCUAAUACCGCAUACGACCUGAGGGUGAAAGCAGGGGAUCGCAAGACCUUGCGUUAUACGAACGGUCGAUGUCAGAUUAGCUAGUUGGUGAGGUAAAGGCUCACCAAGGCGACGAUCUGUAGCGGGUCUGAGAGGAUGAUCCGCCACACUGGGACUGAGACACGGCCCAGACUCCUACGGGAGGCAGCAGUGGGGAAUCUUGGACAAUGGGGGCAACCCUGAUCCAGCCAUGCCGCGUGAGUGAAGAAGGCCUUCGGGUUGUAAAGCUCUUUCGGCCGGGAAGAAAUCGCACAGGCUAAUACUCUGUGUGGAUGACGGUACCGGCAUAAGAAGCACCGGCUAACUACGUGCCAGCCGCCGCCGUAA